Anolis carolinensis (green anole) is the source of this 1164-nucleotide long non-coding RNA. RefSeq lists it as uncharacterized. The transcript has 3 exons. NCBI's taxonomy places the organism in Eukaryota, Metazoa, Chordata, Lepidosauria, Squamata, Anolidae. The record is from RefSeq and is a predicted model, not a curated record.
UAAAAACUCAACUUGAAAAUAACUCCUAUUCACAGGUGUUGGGGGUUUAUUUCUGUGCAAAUGGGAAAGGAAACGAGCACCAAGCAACAAACCAUGACCUGCAGAAGGAAGUCCAACCCAAAAUUCUACUGCAGAACAAUUGUCUAUUGUGAGCUAGAAUACUUGAAAUGAACUCUGUGAAUCAGAAGUUAUUAAAUAGCUUUUCAAGCCCUGAGAGAAAGCUGUUGUCACUGCUUUUCAACAUGUCAUUGAGCAAGAGAGAGAGACCAAACAGCUGAUUCUCCCACAUGGACAGCAGAGUGACAUAUAAAUGGAAUAAACGGAUGAGUAAUCCUGAAGUUGCACCUAUCUAAGGUUCUCCGAUUCUAUGGCCUGAACCCUCUUCUCUAGUCACCAGAGUGAGACACUGUUUUGAAAACUAGUGUCAAAAAGAAUACUUCUAAAUUUUCCAGUUACUUUGUCAUCACCAACAUCACCAUAAAAUAUUUCACAAUUCUCCUCUUGGUUCUUUCGCAGGAAAUCAAAAUCUUCAGGUACUGUAACUGUUUUACAGAAUGGAUUUCAAGUGCUUUGCCUAUGUUUGCUUUAAUUCAGAAGGAAGAGGAGCAAAAAAAAAUGCUGUAUGUGGUUUUCCCAGCUUUUAAAAAAAAAGAGUCAGGUCAUGUAGUUUUGCAUAACAUCAAUGGAAUAGAAGAGGCAGAUACGAUUCAAUGCAGCGGGCCCUUGAUAUCUGCUGGAGUUUGGUUCUAGGAUCUCCCAUGGAUACCAAAAUCCAUGGAUGCUCAAGUCCCAUUAUAUACAAUGGCCUAGGAAUAUGGUGUCUAAUGUGAAAAUUAAGGUUUGAUUUUGGGAUUUGAAAGUCUUGGAUGACUGCAUCUGUGAAUCCACUGUAUAUCCUCUUACCCACACCAAACUUUAUUAGUACUACUAGUGAUAAAACUGAUCAUGCACCAGCUUUUGAGCUGGACUUGGAAAGGGAAAUGCAUUUUUAUCACUUAAAAAAAAACCCUUUAGAGGGGGUGGCAUCAUUAGGACAGGACAUUAAAUAUCCUUGAAAAAUAGACCAGUUUUCUGAUUUACAUUGUUUUUCCAAUGUGGUGGUGAGGAACUUGAGACUAAAAGGAAUAGUGACAUCCGGAAAUUCACCUUGUGAACUGUUCUUAA